RNAcentral lists this long non-coding RNA (5704 nucleotides) under Elaeis guineensis (African oil palm). RNAcentral's name for it is "long non-coding RNA (EGUI_LNC006508)". The record is from RNAcentral. Lineage: Eukaryota; Viridiplantae; Streptophyta; Magnoliopsida; Arecales; Arecaceae.
ACUGGGUCGAUGAUCAAUCUGCACUGUGACUUUGCUUUGGAAAGACCGCCAAAUGACCACCUACGUCUUCGAUUUCAUUAGCGUACAAUGAUAUAAAAUGAAGGGAAAUGGAUGUGUGCUUUCUCGAAAAAAUUUCCUCCUUGGAAGGAUGUAAGAUAUGAAACUUUACAUCACUCUUUAAGGAUUGGUAUUGUAUGGUUCAGUGCUGAUAAUUUUAUUUGAAAUAUGUAGCUUUUGUAAAAGAAAUGAAGGACUUUAGCAAGUUUGUUGACAAAAAAACCCUUAAAUUUUGGAAAUUAAAAAAAAAGGGGAGUGUAGCACUUGUCCUAAUAUUGUUUAGCAGCGUUUCAUCAUUCUAGAUUGGUUUAUCCUGGGGCCAGUCUUUAGUUUCUGUUCAACAUGGUAUCAUUCACGGAUGCUAAGAAGUGUUAACCUGUCAAAUGUUGUGCCCAUGCAUCCAAGAGCAUAUCUAAAAAAAUUUAUAAUGGGAAAAUUAUUAAGACAGUGGACUACGAUAUUCAAACAAGAACUAUUAAAAAAAAAAUUUAUCAACUUGAAUAAUGCAGGUUCCGCAUGCGGAGAUGUUUCUUCUUCCCAAAGCUAAUAAUGAGUUGGGAUAGCGAAGACAAGUGUAGAAAGUCUGGUUGUUCUACAAAAUGAGCCUUCGUGAAGCUUAAGCUUUAGGAUUUUUUUUCUUGGUAAAAUAAGCUUUAGGUUUUCACGUCAUAGAGAUGUACUAAAUAUUUAUAUGAACGAAAAAGGGCCCUCCGUGGUCAUAUAUAUGUUCUUGAGUUGCUUUUUGUUGGCCAAGAUUUUUGCAUUUUUCUAACGCCUGUCCAUUUUAAGUUUUUGGCUGUUACACAACAAACGAUCAUGUGGGGAAAUCAGUGUCCCAAACCAACAAAGCUACUCAUCUUUUUGAGGAGAUGAAGGUGGAAGAUAAAAAUCUAAAAUGCAUGAAGCAAGAACUCCAAAUUAGGCUUUUGACAUUCUCUAAGUUAUCUUCGGAUGUUAUCUUGAUAAACAUUUGUUAUUAUUUUACUGUUUCGUAGACCCAUUGAAAGAUCAUGAUGAGUGGAAAGUUAAGAACACCCUUAGCCCACCCUACAUUUUUAUUUUUUUGAGAAAUUGGAGGAAGUAAGUUACUUCCGCCAGAUAAUAUUAUAAAAAUAAUAAUAGAAGUUAACAAGUUGAAUGAUAAGGACUCAAAAAGGGAGAGGAGGAGUGGCAUAUUUGCUGAACUUUACCAUCUGAUACAGCCAAAACACAGAGAUUCCAUUCUACCAGUUCGACCCACAAUCUCGAUACAGAGAAAUAAAGGAGAUGAUGCAGGGACAUUCAAUGAAUGCGAUAGAUCUGAUUGGAUUUGGAAGCCUGACGAAUAUCUGAAUCCGAUAUAUGAAUGUUCCUGUAAAUUAUCUCCAAAUGGUGCCAACUCGGUAAUUGAACUUGAAUACUGAUGAUCAAUAUAUCUAUAUAGAGCUUGAGACAUUACUCAAAACUUGAGGAAAAUGUUUGUUUGCCGCACUUCUUGUCUAGUCUUCAAAAAGUGAUGAAAUCUUUUUAAUCAAGGUCAAGUGAACAUUUGCUUCGCUAUGGAAGAUUCUGUUAUUUCUUUCAAUCCAGAUAUACCACAAAGUAAUGGCAACGAAGGUGUUAUAAGCUUUGUGAAAUUUUUUAUCAACUUGCCAUUUACUUAUUGGCAGCCAAAGAUCAGUGACUUCAGUUGGAACUGCAUUUUCUGGAAGGAUGUGACACCGGAUCUCCUUUGAAUAAGGGCAUGAUAAGAAAAGGUGAUCUUGGGUUUCACUAUGGAAGCAACAGAGAGCCCACCCUACAUUUUAGAAUUCCCUGGAACGUUGAUUUCGUACACUACAUAGAGCCGAGAAAGAUGGAGUCCUAACUGUAACUACGAGGCCUUCACGCGAGUUCACCAUGCUUCAUAUUGAGAAGAAAAAUUAAAAUCCUGAAUCAUAGAUCUAUUUCUUUGACUAUUACAUUGCAUAUAGAUUCUUUAAGAUCCACUCUACCAUAAGAAGGAAUACUUCUUUGAAAGAAUUUCAUCUUCAAAAGAUGAGGAUAACCAUACCUUAUGAUAACAGCUUAGUGCAUUUCCAUUUCAAAAACAGCCUAGUGCAUUUCUUUUGUUUACAAUUCUAUAAUGCCAGUUUCUAAAUCCCCAAGAUAUUAUACACUCAAAUCAAGCAUAUUCUCAACUAAUAGUUGUGCUUAAUAAGUGAAAAUAAAAAAGGCCAUUGGUGAGCUGAUACAACCAUUACUUUCAUGACUUUGUAUCAAUGGCUUUGGCUGUGACUUUAUUGGACCUUGUUCCUGUGGAGAUACUCAGAGAGUUCUAUAUUAUUCAGUUGAUUCAAAGUACGAAUAUUCUGUUAAAGAUAUUAAUUUGUAAUUCUAGAACCUAAUGUUAAUUAAUAGCCUUGAGAAAUUCAAGAGACUUGAGAAUUUCAAAUGUCAUCUUGGGAAAGCAAAGAAACAAAUUUAUCAGGUUCUAGAAUAUUAAGAGUCAUAUUGUAACUCUGAGAGCCACUUUUACAUUCAUCGUGGUCAGGUUCUAGAGUCAUCUUUUGUAACUAUAAAUAGGAGGCCGUAGAGCCCUUGAUAUGCGGUGAAGCAAGAGUUGGAGCCUUUCCUAUCAUAUCUUCUCUUUCUCUUUCAAUAGAAAGUCAUAUUCUUUUGCAUAAAUCUCUUGUAUUCUUUUUAGCACCCAACAAAUUUGGUACUAGGGCCACCAUCUCUCUUACCUCAUAUUUGCAUACUGAGCCCUCCAAAAUCCACAAACGAGUCCUAUAAGCCCUAUGGCAGCAAACACUAGCAAUACCACCUUCAAUUAUACCUAAACUUCGGCUCCUAUCUUUGAAAGAGAAAACUAUGACUACUGGAGCAUCCAAAUGAGGAUGCUCUUCAUGUCACAAGAUCUCUGGGACUUGGUCGAAGGAGGCUAUGAAGAACCAGCAACUCCAGAAGCUUUCGAGGCAUGGAAUCAAGCAAAGCAUAAAGAGUAUAGGGACUGCAAAAUGAAAGAUGCGGAGGCCUUACUCUUCAUCCUUCAAUGGGUAAGCAAGUCCAUCUUUCCUAGAAUUAUGGAUGCAACUAAAGCUAUAGAUGCAUGGGAAAUUUUAAAAAAGGAUUUUCAAGGCUCUAAUAGAAUAAUUUGUAUCAAGCUUCAAUCUUUGUGGAGGGAGUUUGAUAAUCUUAAAAUGAAGUAAAAUAAAACUGUUAUAAUAUUUCUUUCUAGAGUUGCUGGUAUCGUCAAUCAAAUUAGAAGCUAUAGAAUACUAUUCCAGAUUGCAAAAUUAUCCAAAAAGUUUUAAGAGUUCUGCUAGCUAAAUUUGAGCAUGUAGUUACAGCAAUUGAAGAAUCAAAGGAUUUAUCUACUUUCUCAUUGCAUGAACUAUUGGGCUCUCUGGAAGUACAUGAGGAAAGAAUGAACAGGUUCGCCUCUCAACCUCUGGAGCAAGCUUUUCAAGCCAAACUCACAAUUGAUGCAUAGAAGAGUGAGCAAGACAGCAACAAGAAGGAGUCCUCUCAAAAGAAAGAUCAACAAAAAAGAAAAUGGAAGUCAAAUUUUUUGGAAGCUCCAGGCAAAAAGAUAGGCAGAAACAAUAGCUCAAGAAAUGGUAAUUCCUCAUCUCAAUGUUUUAUUUGCAUGAAGUUUGGGCAUGAAUCUAGAAACUGUCAUUUUAAAUGUAGAAGAUGCAAAAUUCCAAAUCAUUCUGAGGGGGAUUGUUGGUAUAAAGAAAAAAGGCAACCUAAUGAAGCAAAUUUUUCUAAAGAAAAUUGUGAUGACCAGUUGUUUUACUCUUGCAUGAGCAUACAAUAAAAAUCACAAGAUAUUUGAUAUCUAAAUAGUGGAUGCAGCAAUCACACGAUAGGAAACCAAAAGCUCUUUGUCCAACUAAAAAUGGCUUCUUCUCAAAUCAAGCUUGGAUAUAGCAAACUACAACAAGUUGAAGGCAGAGGUGUGGUAGCAGUUUACACCAAAGGAGGUAUAAAAAAACUAAUUCAUGAUGUUUUAUAUGGUCCUGGUAUUGCUCAAAAUCUCCCUAGUGUUGGACAAUUGGUGCAAAAUGGUUAUUUGGUUUUUUUUGAGAAUGGUGAAUGCACAAUUCUUGAUAAAAAGAAAGACAUCGUUAUUGCUAAGAUCAAAAUGACUUCAAACAAGGUUUUUUGUCUUAUCAUAUUAAUUAACAAAAAUGUAGCCUUAUAAGGAGAAAAUAUUGAUGAUUCCUAUUUAUGGCAUUUGAGAUAUGGUCACCUCAACUAUAAAGGCUUGAAGUUGUUGAAAGAUAAGAAUAUGAUAAUUGGGCUUCCAUCAAUAAACAAAGGUCACUUAUGUGAAGGUUGUGUUUAUGAAAAACUGCAUCGGCUUCCAUUUCCAAAGAGGGCUUGAAGGGCACAAGCUCCGCUAGAGCUAGUGCAUGCUAAUCUUUGUGGUCCUACUAGAACCCCUUCUUUUAAUCAAAAAAAUUUUUUUCUUCUUUUUAUUAAUGCUUAUACUAAAAAAAUGUGGGUAUUCUUUCUUGAGCAAAAGUAAGAGGCAUUUUCUUUCUUUCUCUAGUUUAAAGCUUUUGUAGAGUGGCAAAGCAAUCAUCAAAUCAAGACUCUAAGAACAGAAUGUGGAGGAAAAUUUAUCUCUGGACCCUUCAUGAACUAUUGCAAGGAGAACGGCAUCAAGAGAUAACUCACUAUCCGCUAUACAUCAGAACAAAAUGGAGUUGCUGAGUGCAAGAACCGUACAAUUAUGAAGAUGGCUAGAAGUAUGAUGAAAGGCAAAGGCUUGCCAAAUAAUUUUUGGACUGAAGCUAUUAAUAUAGCUAUCUAUAUCCUAAAUAGAUCUCUAACAAAAAUAGUGCUAAACAAAACUCCUUAUGAAGCUUGGCAUAGGCAAAAGCCUCAGGUCAAUCAUCCUAAAGUCUUUGGCUGCAUAGCUUAUUCUCUUAUUCCAUCUCAAAAUAGAGAUAAAUUUGAUCAAAAAGGAGAAAAGCAUAUCUUUAUUGGAUAUAGUGAUUAGUCUAAAGGCUAUCGCCUUCUGAAUCCUAUAAAAAAUCAACUUGUUGUUUCUCGAGAUGUGUUCUUUGAUGAACUUACAGCAUGGCAAUGGGAGGCCAAUCCUCCUGAACGUGCAAGAAGAGAUGAGUUUAGGGAGAUAGAAGCAAAUCAAAAAGAAACUGAGCAUCAACCAAGCCCAAUAAGAGCAUCAAGAGAAGAAAGUUCAAGCCAAGUCAUCAUAGAUUCUGUUUACCCCCAAGAAAGGUGGGCAGCUUACGUGAGAUCUAUAAGUCUUAUGACGUUGCCUUCUUUUCAUGUGAACCAUAGGAUUUUAAAGAAGCAAAAAAAGAUGAGGUAUGUCUAAAAGUCAUGGAUGAAGAAAUAGCUGCUAUCGAAAGAAAUUAUACAUGGGAGCUUGUUGAUCUCCCAAAAGGCAAAGAUAUUAUCAAGCUCAAAUAGAUUUAUAAGACAAAGUUCAAAGAAGAUGACUCUAUCGAUAAGCACAAAGCUCAUCUAGUUGCAAAAAGUUACACUCACAAUGUUGUGCCCAUGCAUCCAAGAGAAUAUCUAAAAAAAUUUAUAAUGAGAAAAUUAUUAAGACAGUGGACAACGAUAUUCAAAAGAGAACUAUUAAAAAUAAAAUUUAUCAACUUGAAUAAUGCAGGUUCCGCAUGCGGAGAUGUUUCUUCUUCCC